RNAcentral lists this long non-coding RNA (548 nucleotides) under Rattus norvegicus (Norway rat). RNAcentral's name for it is "long non-coding RNA NONRATT002226". The record is from RNAcentral. Lineage: Eukaryota; Metazoa; Chordata; Mammalia; Rodentia; Muridae.
CUGAUCCCGAGAAACUCUACUCAAAUCUGGUUUCCUGGAUGCGGUCCUGGAGAGUGCAGCAGCGGGAACCGCAACCCUGCGGCCCUGGAACCUCCCAGUUCUGGGUGCUUUCUGAAGACUCUUCCCCAUAUGCAGAGAUCACACUCUUCAGACAGCCUCGGUCACCUGUGUAUCUGAACUAAGAGCCCUGGAUGAUGAAGAGAGGAAACUGUAGCAAAGGAUCCAGAAAUUUAAUGAAGAGCAACAAGAAGAAUGACUGCUUCUCUGGUAAAUGUGUCCAAGUGUCUGCUAACAUUCAGGGAUGUGGCUGUGGAGUUCUCAAUGGAGGAAUGGGAAUGUCUCAACUAUUCCCAGAAGACAUUGUAUAGAGAUGUGAUGAUGGAAAAUUACAACAAUCUACUCUUUGUGGAUUUCAAGAUCUCUGAGAAAGAACUCAUAGGAUGAAACUUAAGUUUAAAGGAUGAAAAACAACUUUGUUUCCUUUGCCAGUUGAAGCAAUGCUGCAAAAGGUGAAAACCAAGGCUGGAGUUAUUAAAUACCUAAACUAC